GUGAGGUCUGUUCUUUCCAGAAGCCUGAAGUGAAGGGGAGAGAGAUUCUGUGCCGGCUGGAGAUUGAGGCGUCCUGAGCAGAGGAACCCCGUGUGCCCUCUCUCUAACCGGGUAACUACAUUCCACGGCUCUGGCUUCCUGCCUCGCACACGACAGCUUCCGGAGAAACGGCUGGUUCUAGGUCUGGGGCAGGGAAAAUACAAGAUGAAACUGGAGCAUCCUGAGGUACCAGAAAGCAAGGAGGUGCUCAAAAGACUAAAGGUGGGGCGUGUUGAAGGGACACAGGAGUCAACGGAAGGAGCUUCCAGUGGCCAAAGCUGAAACAAUUUGAGCAAUAAAAUAACGUUGUAUAGGA
Molecule: non-coding RNA, 355 nt
Organism: Microcebus murinus (gray mouse lemur)
Lineage: Eukaryota; Metazoa; Chordata; Mammalia; Primates; Cheirogaleidae
Source: RefSeq, a predicted model, not a curated record